AUUUGUCUGGUUAAUUCCGAUAACGAACGAGACCUUAACCUGCUAACUAGAUUCAUUUGUAUUACUUUUGCAAUCUUCUUAGAGGGACUAUGUAAAACAAAUACAUGGAAGUUUGAGGCAAUAACAGGUCAGUGAUGCCCUUAUAUGUCCUGGGCUGCACGCGUGCUACACUGAUGCAUACAACAAGUGCCUAACCAGACAUGGUAUGGCAAUCUCGAAUAUGCAUCGUGAUGGGGAUAGAUCUUUGCAAUUAUAGAUCUUGAACGAGGAAUUCCUAGUAAGUGCAAGUCAUCAUCUUGCAUUGAUUAUGUCCCUGCCCUUUGUACACACCGCCCGUCGCUCCUACCGAUACCGGGUGAUCCGGUGAACCUUUUGGACUCUUUACUGGGAAAGAUAAGUAAACCAUAUCACCUAGAGGAAGGAGAAGUCGUAACAAGGUUUCCGUAGGUGAACCUGCRGAAGGAUCA
RNAcentral lists this ribosomal RNA (467 nucleotides) under uncultured ciliate. RNAcentral describes it as "SSU rRNA". It matches the Rfam family "Eukaryotic small subunit ribosomal RNA". The record is from RNAcentral. Lineage: Eukaryota; Ciliophora.